RNAcentral lists this ribosomal RNA (1341 nucleotides) under Vibrio cholerae. Its description in RNAcentral is "partial 23S ribosomal RNA". It matches the Rfam family "Bacterial large subunit ribosomal RNA", at positions 1507 to 2826 of the family's 2925-position model. Lineage: Bacteria; Pseudomonadati; Pseudomonadota; Gammaproteobacteria; Vibrionales; Vibrionaceae. The record is from RNAcentral.
CUGGUUCAAGUGCGUAGGCUUGAGAGUUAGGUAAAUCCGGCUCUCUCUAAGGCUGAGACACGACGUCGAGCUACUACGGUAGUGAAGUCAUUGAUGCCAUGCUUCCAGGAAAAGCCUCUAAGCUUCAGAUAGUCAGGAAUCGUACCCCAAACCGACACAGGUGGUCGGGUAGAGAAUACCAAGGCGCUUGAGAGAACUCGGGUGAAGGAACUAGGCAAAAUGGUACCGUAACUUCGGGAGAAGGUACGCUCUUGAUGGUGAAGUCCCUCGCGGAUGGAGCUGACGAGAGUCGCAGAUACCAGGUGGCUGCAACUGUUUAUUAAAAACACAGCACUGUGCAAAAUCGCAAGAUGACGUAUACGGUGUGACGCCUGCCCGGUGCCGGAAGGUUAAUUGAUGGGGUUAGCGCAAGCGAAGCUCUUGAUCGAAGCCCCGGUAAACGGCGGCCGUAACUAUAACGGUCCUAAGGUAGCGAAAUUCCUUGUCGGGUAAGUUCCGACCUGCACGAAUGGCGUAAUGAUGGCCACGCUGUCUCCACCCGAGACUCAGUGAAAUUGAAAUCGCUGUGAAGAUGCAGUGUACCCGCGGCUAGACGGAAAGACCCCGUGAACCUUUACUACAGCUUGGCACUGAACAUUGAACCUACAUGUGUAGGAUAGGUGGGAGGCUAUGAAGACGUGACGCCAGUUGCGUUGGAGCCGUCCUUGAAAUACCACCCUUGUAUGUUUGAUGUUCUAACUUAGACCCAUUAUCUGGGUUGAGGACAGUGCCUGGUGGGUAGUUUGACUGGGGCGGUCUCCUCCCAAAGAGUAACGGAGGAGCACGAAGGUGGGCUAAUCACGGUUGGACAUCGUGAGGUUAGUGCAAUGGCAUAAGCCCGCUUAACUGCGAGAAUGACGGUUCGAGCAGGUGCGAAAGCAGGUCAUAGUGAUCCGGUGGUUCUGUAUGGAAGGGCCAUCGCUCAACGGAUAAAAGGUACUCCGGGGAUAACAGGCUGAUACCGCCCAAGAGUUCAUAUCGACGGCGGUGUUUGGCACCUCGAUGUCGGCUCAUCACAUCCUGGGGCUGAAGUCGGUCCCAAGGGUAUGGCUGUUCGCCAUUUAAAGUGGUACGCGAGCUGGGUUUAGAACGUCGUGAGACAGUUCGGUCCCUAUCUGCCGUGGGCGUUGGAAGAUUGAAGGGGGCUGCUCCUAGUACGAGAGGACCGGAGUGGACGAACCUCUGGUGUUCGGGUUGUGUCGCCAGACGCAUUGCCCGGUAGCUAAGUUCGGAAUUGAUAAGCGCUGAAAGCAUCUAAGCGCGAAGCGAGCCCUGAGAUGAGUCUUCCCUGACAGUUUAACU